GUCGAGAAUAAUUCACAAUGGACGAAAGUCUGAUGGUGCAACGCCGCGUGGAGGAUGACGGUCUUCGGAUUGUAAACUCCUGUCAUCCGGGAGUAAGACCUGGCUGUGAAUAGCAGACAGGGUUGAUAGUACCGGAAGAGGAAGGGACGGCUAACUUCGUGCCAGCAGCCGCGGUAAUACGAAGGUCCCGAGCGUUGUUCGGAAUCACUGGGCGUAAAGGGAGCGUAGGCGGCUUGGUAAGUCAGAUGUGAAAUCCCGGGGCUCAACCCCGCAACUGCAUCCGAUACUGCCGUGAUAGAUGAUUGGAGAGGUAACUGGAAUUCUUGGUGUAGCAGUGAAAUGCGUGGAGAACAAGAGGAACACUCGUGGCGAAAGCGAGCUACUGGACAAUAUCUGACGCUGAGGCUCGAAGGCCAGGGUAGCGAAAGGGAUUAGAUACCCGAGUAGUCC
This 450-nucleotide ribosomal RNA is filed under the name uncultured bacterium. Its description in RNAcentral is "partial 16S ribosomal RNA". It matches the Rfam family "Bacterial small subunit ribosomal RNA", at positions 354 to 796 of the family's 1533-position model. The record is from RNAcentral.